GACGAACGCUGGCGGCGUGCUUAACACAUGCAAGUCGAACGGUAAGGCCCUUCGGGGUACACGAGUGGCGAACGGGUGAGUAACACGUGGGUGAUCUGCCCUGCACUUCGGGAUAAGCCUGGGAAACUGGGUCUAAUACCGGAUAGGACCACUGCCUGCAUGGGUGGUGGUGGAAAGCUUUUGCGGUAUGGGAUGGGCCCGCGGCCUAUCAGCUUGUUGGUGGGGUGAUGGCCUACCAAGGCGACGACGGGUAGCCGGCCUGAGAAGGUGACCGGCCACACUGGGACUGAGAUACGGCCCAGACUCCUACGGGAGGCAGCAGUGGGGAAUAUUGCACAAUGGGCGCAAGCCUGAUGCAGCGACGCCGCGUGGGGGAUGACGGCCUUCGGGUUGUAAACCUCUUUCAGCACCGACGAAGCGCAAGUGACGGUAGGUGCAGAAGAAGGACCGGCCAACUACGUGCCAGCCGCCGCAGUAA
RNAcentral lists this ribosomal RNA (478 nucleotides) under uncultured bacterium. RNAcentral describes it as "partial 16S ribosomal RNA". It matches the Rfam family "Bacterial small subunit ribosomal RNA", at positions 28 to 523 of the family's 1533-position model. The record is from RNAcentral.